AGAUUAAGCCAUGCAUGUCUAAGUACAAGCCUCACUAAGGUGAAACCGCGAAUGGCUCAUUAAAUCACACCUAAUCUACUGGAUAGUUAACAGUUACUUGGAUAACUGCGGUAAUUCUGGAGCUAAUACAUGCACAAAGCCCCGAACUUACGUGAGGGGCGCUUUUAUUAGAUCAAAACCAAACGGCUUCGGCUGUUCUCUUGGUGACUCUGAAUAACUUUGGGCUGAUCGCAUAGCCUAGCGCUGGCGACAUAUCCUUCGAAGGUGUGCCCUAUCAACUGUCGACUGUGGCAUAGACGCCCACAGUGGUUUUGACGGGUAACGGGGAAUCAGGGUUCGAUUCCGGAGAGGGAGCCUUAAAAACGGCUACCACAUCUAAGGAAGGCAGCAGGCACGCAAAUUACCCAAUGACCGAAGGUCGAGGUAGUGACGAAAACUAACGAUACGGGACUCAUCUGAGGCCCCGUAAUCGGAAUGAGUACACUUUAAAACCGUCCCCGAGGAUCUAUUGGAGGGCAAGUCUGGUGCCAGCAGCCGCGGUAAUUCCAGCUCCAAUAGCGUAUAUUAAAGUUGUUGUGGUUAAAAAGCUCGUAGUUGGAUCUCGGCGGUCUGAGGGCGGUUCGCUUGCUUAAGCGCUACUGCCCUAUAGGCCGUAGUUUUGCCAGAGGU
RNAcentral lists this ribosomal RNA (669 nucleotides) under Microcalanus pygmaeus. RNAcentral describes it as "SSU rRNA". It matches the Rfam family "Eukaryotic small subunit ribosomal RNA", at positions 41 to 708 of the family's 1831-position model. Lineage: Eukaryota; Metazoa; Arthropoda; Copepoda; Calanoida; Clausocalanidae. The record is from RNAcentral.